RNAcentral lists this ribosomal RNA (465 nucleotides) under uncultured bacterium. Its description in RNAcentral is "partial 16S ribosomal RNA". It matches the Rfam family "Bacterial small subunit ribosomal RNA", at positions 28 to 507 of the family's 1533-position model. The record is from RNAcentral.
GACGAACGCUGGCGGCGUGCUUAACACAUGCGAGUCGAACGGAAAGGCCCCUUUGGGGGUCCUCGAGUGGCGAACGGGUGAGUAACACGUGAGUAACCUGCCCUUGACUUCGGGAUAACUUCAGGAAACUGGGGCUAAUACCGGAUAGGAAUCCUUGCUGCAUGGUGGGGGUUGGAAAGCUUCGGCGGUUUUGGAUGGACUCGCGGCUUAUCAGCUUGUUGGUGGGGUAGUGGCUUACCAAGGCUUUGACGGGUAGCCGGCCUGAGAGGGCGACCGGCCACAUUGGGACUGAGAGACGGCCCAGACGCCUACGGGAGGCAGCAGUGGGGAAUAUUGCACAAUGGGCGGAAGCCGGAUGCAGCAACGCCGCGGGCGGGAGGACGGCCUUCGGGUUGUAAACCGCUUUCAGCAGGGGCGAAGCUUGUGGUGACGGUACCUGCAGAAGAAGCACCGGCUAACUACGUG